Molecule: unclassified non-coding RNA, 340 nt
Filed under: soil metagenome
Description: partial contains 5.8S ribosomal RNA, internal transcribed spacer 2, and large subunit ribosomal RNA
Rfam family: 5.8S ribosomal RNA (bases 1-120)
Source: RNAcentral
GAUGAAGAACGUAGCAAAAUGCGAUAAGUAAUGUGAAUUGCAGAGUUCAGUGAAUCAUCGAAUCUUUGAACGCACAUUGCGCCCGUCAGUAUUCUGACGGGCAUGCCUGUCCGAGCGUCAUUUCAACCCUCAAGCACUGCUUGGCGUUGGCGGAUUGCGUGCCCUCGCGGCGCUGCAACCGCCCAAAUACAGUGGCGGUCCCGCUGCGGCUCCCUUUGCGUAGUAACUCACCUCGCACUGGACCGGGCGGCGGCCUGCCGUAAAACCCCAACUCACGAAAUGUUGACCUCGGAUCAGGUAGGAAUACCCGCUGAACUUAAGCAUAUCAAUAAGCGGAGGA